UACGUAGGGUGCAAGCGUUGUCCGGAAUUAUUGGGCGUAAAGAGCUCGUAGGCGGCUUGUUGCGUCGGCUGUGAAAUCCCGAGGCUCAACCUCGGGUCUGCAGUCGAUACGAGCAAACUAGAGUGUUGCAGGGGAGACUGGAAUUCCUGGUGUAGCGGUGAAAUGUGCAGAUAUCAGGAGGAACACCGGUGGCGAAGGCGGGUCUCUGGGCAGUAACUGACGCUGAGGAGCGAAAGCGUGGGGAGCGAACAGG
This 253-nucleotide ribosomal RNA is filed under the name uncultured bacterium. Its description in RNAcentral is "partial 16S ribosomal RNA". It matches the Rfam family "Bacterial small subunit ribosomal RNA", at positions 524 to 776 of the family's 1533-position model. The record is from RNAcentral.